This 91-nucleotide small nucleolar RNA is filed under the name Pongo abelii (Sumatran orangutan). The record is from RNAcentral. Lineage: Eukaryota; Metazoa; Chordata; Mammalia; Primates; Hominidae.
UCCCAUCUCUUAAAUAAAAAGAAUUUUUUUUUUAAAAGAAGUCGUACAUGUGCAAUGGCUGCAACAGCAGCUUCCUUGGUAGUGUGUGCAG